GGAGGCUACCACAGGACCUUCAUGCAAGAGAGGGUCCCCUCAGCAUGAUGUGGUGCCCUGGACGUCAGCCUGGUCACGAGCAACCAACAGCACCAGGCUGGGCUGAGCUGGGCUGGAUCAAAGCAUCACCACCUUGCACCUCCUGUUGCUUUUUGGCCCCAUUUUGUGGGGGCUAAAUGAGGUCAUUUUUGAGGGGCAGCAUGGUCACUUGGCUGAGGAGAGCAGCAGGAGCUGGCACCUCCAGGAGCCCGGUGGCAUUCCAGAGCGGCACAGACCCACGGGCUGGGGGUAGAGAAUCUUUGCUUUCAUCUCUUGAUUAAGACCAAGGCAAUUAAAGUGGCCCAGUAGGGUCCAGCCAGCAGGAGCCAGCAGCCUCCAGCAAAGUGAGACCUUGGGAGAGCCCAGAGGGACCAUGGGGCAAGCCAGGUCUUGGGCUUUCCCAGCAGCAAGACCACGCUGGAGGACUUGACCACAUCAGGGUCCCUCCUCUGGUGUCCCCCCAGCCCCUGGGGGUGCUCCUCACCAGCCCUGGGCGAAGCAUCUCCCACGCAGCUCCUUUUUAGCCACGGAGGCUUCAGCCACCCAGCUCUGCCCCUCGGUGCCACAGGCAGCCUGGCAGCCCAGGCACCCUUUCCCCCACCCCCCCACCCCCGUGAAGAUGUGGCCCCUUCUAUCUCCUCCUCCUCUUGAUGGGAGGCAGCAGCCAGCUCCAGCAGGAUGCACUCAGCUGGGAACCCACCACGGUGUCACCACCCAGCCCGGUGCUGGAGCUGCUGGGAGCCCACCCAGCCUAUCUGAAGCCCCUUCCCAUCCCCAAAACCUGAGCUUCCACUCCCAGACCUAGGAGACAUCAGGCUGUGAGAGGCGGCCGCGGGGCUUGGGGCUGCC
Molecule: long non-coding RNA, 888 nt
Organism: Dryobates pubescens (Downy woodpecker)
Lineage: Eukaryota; Metazoa; Chordata; Aves; Piciformes; Picidae
Exons: 3
Source: RefSeq, a predicted model, not a curated record